This 824-nucleotide ribosomal RNA is filed under the name uncultured bacterium. Its description in RNAcentral is "bacterial SSU rRNA". It matches the Rfam family "Bacterial small subunit ribosomal RNA", at positions 28 to 822 of the family's 1533-position model. The record is from RNAcentral.
GACGAACGCUGGCGGCGUGCUUAACACAUGCAAGUCGAACGGUCUACCUCGACAGAAACCUUCGGGUUGAAGACGAGAUCUAGAUAGUGGCGGACGGGUGAGUAACACGUGAAUAAUCUGUCCUCAAGUCCGGGAUAACCUGGCGAAAGUCGGGCUAAUCCGGGGUAAGCUGAGAGUGCGGCAUCACACAAUCAGAAAAGGUGGCUCUGCCAUCGUUUGAGGAGGAGUUCGCGGUAGAUUAGCUAGCUGGUGAGGUAAUGGCUCACCAGGGCAACAAUCUAUAGCUGGUCUGAGAGGACGAUCAGUCACACUGGAACUGAGACACGGUCCAGACUCCUACGGGAGGCAGCAGUGGGGAAUCUUCCACAAUGGGCGCAAGCCUGAUGGAGCAACGCCGCGUGAGUGAAGAAGGUCUUAGGAUUGUAAAGCUCUGUCCUUAGGGAAGAACCGUGGGUAUAGCAAAUGAUACCCACCUGACGGUACCUUUGGAGGAAGCACUGGCUAACUACGUGCCAGCAGCCGCGGUAAUACGUAGAGUGCAAGCGUUGUCCGGAAUUAUUGGGCGUAAAGGGUACGCAGGCGGAUAAUCAAGUCAAGCGUGAAAGGUGUCGGCUUAACCGACAGACUGCGUUUGAAACUGGUUAUCUUGAGUGUAACAGAGGAGAGUGGAAUUCCUAGUGUAGUGGUGAAAUACGUAGAUAUUAGGAAGAACACCAGUGGCGAAGGCGACUCUCUGGGUAACACUGACGCUGAGGUACGAAAGCUGGGGAGCGAACGGGAUUAGAUACCCCGGUAGGUCCCAGCCGUAACGAUGAUACUAGGUG